GAGUAGGCGACACAAGUUGCUGUGA
RNAcentral lists this non-coding RNA (25 nucleotides) under Rattus norvegicus (Norway rat). Lineage: Eukaryota; Metazoa; Chordata; Mammalia; Rodentia; Muridae. The record is from RNAcentral.